Molecule: long non-coding RNA, 429 nt
Filed under: Ananas comosus (pineapple)
Lineage: Eukaryota; Viridiplantae; Streptophyta; Magnoliopsida; Poales; Bromeliaceae
Description: long non-coding RNA (ACOM_LNC028470)
Source: RNAcentral
AUUCUCCGAAGAAAAUAAAUUAAUAAAGAAAAAUUUUUAAGUAUCAUUCCUGUAGUUUUGUAUUUUCUCGCUUUAAUACUAUAUGAUUUAAAGUGUAUCACUUUCGUACGUACCCUGUGUUUUUAUUUUUUAUUUUUUUUGUUAUUCCCUCCACUAAUUUUUUUGUUAAUUAAUACGCGACAAAGUUAAAACUAAAAGGUAUUAAAGUAAAUAUUCGAUAAACUAUAGAUAGGAUAUCUGAAGUUUUUUGUAUUUGAUUUAACGAAAAAUUAACGAAUGGGCUGACAAAAAAGAAAAAAAAAUGAAAUAAUAUGAUACUAAAUUAAUACACUUUAAAUCAUAGGAUAUUAAAGUAAAAAAAUAUGAAAUCACGGGAAUGGUACUUGAAGUUUACUUAUAAAUAAAUAAAUAAGUGAAAUGUUGUUUGUA